This 253-nucleotide ribosomal RNA is filed under the name uncultured bacterium. Its description in RNAcentral is "partial 16S ribosomal RNA". It matches the Rfam family "Bacterial small subunit ribosomal RNA", at positions 524 to 776 of the family's 1533-position model. The record is from RNAcentral.
UACAGAGGGGGCAAGCGUCGUCCGGAUUCAUUGGGCGUAAAGAGCGUGUAGGCGGCCAGGUAGGUCAGCUGUGAAAACUGGAGGCUCAACCUUCAGACGUCGGCUGAAACCAUCUGGCUAGAGUCCGGGAGAGGAGAGUGGAAUUCCUGGUGUAGCGGUGAAAUGCGCAGAUAUCAGGAAGAACACCCGUGGCGAAAGCGGCUCUCUGGAACGGUACUGACGCUGAGACGCGAAAGCGUGGGGAGCGAACAGG